RNAcentral lists this long non-coding RNA (218 nucleotides) under Elaeis guineensis (African oil palm). Its description in RNAcentral is "long non-coding RNA (EGUI_LNC024472)". The record is from RNAcentral. Lineage: Eukaryota; Viridiplantae; Streptophyta; Magnoliopsida; Arecales; Arecaceae.
UAUAAAAAAAUCUAAUUUGAAACAAAAUACUUCAUCAAUCAUAUUGAUGUUCUGAAUCAGAUCUAAUGCUUAGAUCUGAUCCGAUGAGUUCAGAACCCAAUAUCUGAUCGUAGGUCAACGAUCACCACUACUAAUCAUGUGGUAGGAGGUUUUUUUUGAUGUCGAACAGCUACACAGCAUAUCUGGACUCUACAAAUGAUCCACUCGAAGUGCUGAAC